UACGUAGGGGGCGAGCGUUGUCCGGAUUUAUUGGGCGUAAAGAGCUCGUAGGCGGUUUGGUAAGUCGGGUGUGAAAUCUCCACGCUCAACGUGGAGGGGCCACUCGAUACUGCCAUGACUCGAGUCCGGUAGAGGAGUGUGGAAUUCCCGGUGUAGCGGUGAAAUUCGUAGAUAUCGGGAGGAACACCGGUGGCGAAGGCGGCGGCCUGGGUUGACACUGACGCUGAGGCGCGAAAGCGUGGGGAGCAAACAGG
Molecule: ribosomal RNA, 254 nt
Filed under: uncultured bacterium
Lineage: Bacteria
Description: partial 16S ribosomal RNA
Rfam family: Bacterial small subunit ribosomal RNA
Source: RNAcentral